GAUGAACGCUGGCGGCGUGCCUAAUACAUGCAAGUCGAGCGAAUGGAUUGAGAGCUUGCUCUUAUGAAGUUAGCGGCGGACGGGUGAGUAACACGUGGGUAACCUGCCCAUAAGACUAGGAUAACUCCGGGAAACCGGGGCUAAUACCGGAUAACAUUUUGAACCGCAUGGUUCGAAAUUGAAAGGCGGCUUCGGCUGUCACUUAUGGAUGGACCCGCGUUGCAUUAGCUAGUUGGUGAGGUAACGGCUCACCAAGGCAACGAUGCGUAGCCGACUUGAGAGGGUGAUCGGCCACUCUGGGACUGAGACACGGCCCAGACCCCUACGGGAGGCAGCAGUAGGGAAUCUUCCGCAAUGGACGAAAGUCUGACGGAGCAACGCCGCGUGAGUGAUGAAGGCUUUCGGGUCGUAAAACUCUGUUGUUAGGGAAGAACAAGUGCUAGUUGAAUAAGCUGGCACCUUGACGGUACCUAACCAGAAAGCCACGGCUAACUACGUGCCAGCAGCCGCGGUAA
RNAcentral lists this ribosomal RNA (515 nucleotides) under uncultured bacterium. Its description in RNAcentral is "partial 16S ribosomal RNA". It matches the Rfam family "Bacterial small subunit ribosomal RNA", at positions 28 to 523 of the family's 1533-position model. The record is from RNAcentral.